GGAAUUUUGGACAAUGGGGGCAACCCUGAUCCAGCCAUGCCGCGUGCGGGAAGAAGGCCUUCGGGUUGUAAACCGCUUUUGGCAGGAACGAAACGGCGCUUGUUAAUACCGAGCGCUAAUGACGGUACCUGCAGCAUAAGCACCGGCUAACUACGUCCCAGCAGCCGCGGUAAUACGUAGGGUGCAAGCGUUAAUCGUAAUUACUGGGCGUAAAGCGUACGCAGGCGGCUGUGCAAGACAGGUGUGAAAUCCCCGGGCUUAACCUGGGAACUGCAUUUGUGACUGCAUAGCUAGAGUCCGUAAGAGGGGGGUGGAAUUCCACGUGUAGCAGUGAAAUGCGUAGAGAUGUGGAGGAACACCGAUGGCGAAGGCAGCCCCCUGGGAUGAGACUGACGCUCAUGUACGAAAGCGUGGGGAGCAAAC
Molecule: ribosomal RNA, 423 nt
Filed under: uncultured bacterium
Lineage: Bacteria
Description: bacterial SSU rRNA
Rfam family: Bacterial small subunit ribosomal RNA
Source: RNAcentral